Molecule: ribosomal RNA, 465 nt
Filed under: uncultured bacterium
Lineage: Bacteria
Description: partial 16S ribosomal RNA
Rfam family: Bacterial small subunit ribosomal RNA
Source: RNAcentral
GACGAACGCUGGCGGCGUGCUUAACACAUGCAAGUCGAGCGGUAAGGCCCCUUCGGGGGUACACGAGCGGCGAACGGGUGAGUAACACGUGAGCAAUCUGCCCAUCACAUCGGGAUAACUCCGGGAAACCGAAGCUAAUACCGAAUACGACCACCUUCGGCAUCGGAUGGUGGUGGAAAGUUCCGGCGGUGAUGGUUGAGCUCGCGGCUUAUCAGCUUGUUGGUGGGGUAACGGCUCACGAAGGGUUCGACGGGUAGCCGGCCUGAGAGGGUGACCGGCCACACUGGGACUGAGACACGGCCCAGACUCCUACGGGAGGCAGCAGUGGGGAAUAUUGCACAAUGGCCGAAAGCCUGAUCCAGCAACGCCGCGUGAGGGAUGACGGCCUUCGGGUUGUAAACCUCUUUCAGCAGGAACGAAGCGCAAUUGACGGUACCUGCAGAAGAAGCACCGGCCAACUACGUG